This 200-nucleotide ribosomal RNA is filed under the name uncultured bacterium. RNAcentral's name for it is "partial 16S ribosomal RNA". It matches the Rfam family "Bacterial small subunit ribosomal RNA", at positions 30 to 230 of the family's 1533-position model. The record is from RNAcentral.
AUUGAACGCUGGCGGCAGGCCUAACACAUGCAAGUCGAGCGGCAGCGCGGGGGUAACCCUGGCGGCGAGCGGCGGACGGGUGAGUAACGCGUAGGAAUCUACCCAGUAGCGGGGGAUAGCCCGGGGAAACUCGGAUUAAUACCGCAUACGCCCUAAGGGGGAAAGCAGGGGAUCUUCGGACCUUGCACUAUUGGAAGAGC